GCCAGGCGUGGUGGCGCUCACCUGUAGUCCUAGGUGCUUGGGAGGCUGAAGCAGGAGGAUCACUUGAACCCAGGAGGUCAAGGCUGCAAUGAGCUGAGAUUACGCCAUUGCACUCCAGCCUGGGUGACAAAGUGAGACUCUGUCUCAA
Pongo abelii (Sumatran orangutan) is the source of this 148-nucleotide unclassified non-coding RNA. It matches the Rfam family "Metazoan signal recognition particle RNA". From Rfam's summary of the family: The signal recognition particle (SRP) is a universally conserved ribonucleoprotein. It is involved in the co-translational targeting of proteins to membranes. The record is from Ensembl. Lineage: Eukaryota; Metazoa; Chordata; Mammalia; Primates; Hominidae.